GACGAACGCUGGCGGCGUGCUUAACACAUGCAAGUCGAACGGAAAGGCCCUGCUUUUGUGGGGUGCUCGAGUGGCGAACGGGUGAGUAACACGUGAGUAACCUGCCCUUGACUUUGGGAUAACUUCAGGAAACUGGGGCUAAUACCGGAUAGGAGCUCCUGCUGCAUGGUGGGGGUUGGAAAGUUUCGGCGGUUGGGGAUGGACUCGCGGCUUAUCAGCUUGUUGGUGGGGUAGUGGCUUACCAAGGCUUUGACGGGUAGCCGGCCUGAGAGGGUGACCGGCAACAUUGGGACUGAGAUAAGGCACAGACUCCUACGGGAGGCAGCAGUGGGGAAUAUUGCACCAUGGGCGGAAGGCUGAUGCAGCAACGCCGCGUGCGGGAUGACGGCCUUCGGGUUGUAAACCGCUUUCGCCUGUGACGAAGCGUGAGUGACGGUAAUGGGUAAAGAAGCACCGGCUAACUACGUG
Molecule: ribosomal RNA, 468 nt
Filed under: uncultured bacterium
Lineage: Bacteria
Description: partial 16S ribosomal RNA
Rfam family: Bacterial small subunit ribosomal RNA
Source: RNAcentral